This 858-nucleotide ribosomal RNA is filed under the name uncultured bacterium. RNAcentral's name for it is "bacterial SSU rRNA". It matches the Rfam family "Bacterial small subunit ribosomal RNA", at positions 28 to 896 of the family's 1533-position model. The record is from RNAcentral.
GACGAACGCUGGCGGCGUGCUUAACACAUGCAAGUCGAACGAUGAAGCUGGAGCUUGCUCCGGUGGAUUAGUGGCGAACGGGUGAGUAACACGUGAGCAAUCUGCCCUUGACUCUGGGAUAACUGCGGGAAACUGUAGCUAAUACCGGAUACGACACCUUGGGGCAUCCCAGGGUGUGGAAAGAAUUUCGGUCAAGGAUGAGCUCGCGGCCUAUCAGCUAGUUGGUGAGGUAAUGGCUCACCAAGGCGACGACGGGUAGCCGGCCUGAGAGGGUGACCGGCCACACUGGAACUGAGACACGGUCCAGACUCCUACGGGAGGCAGCAGUGGGGAAUAUUGCACAAUGGGCGAAAGCCUGAUGCAGCAACGCCGCGUGAGGGAUGAAGGCCUUCGGGUUGUAAACCUCUUUUAGCAGGGAAGAAGCGAAAGUGACGGUACCUGCAGAAAAAGCACCGGCUAACUACGUGCCAGCAGCCGCGGUAAUACGUAGGGUGCAAGCGUUGUCCGGAAUUAUUGGGCGUAAAGAGCUCGUAGGCGGUUUGUCGCGUCUGCUGUGAAAAUCCGAGGCUCAACCUCGGACCUGCAGUGGGUACGGGCAAACUAGAGUGCGGUAGGGGAGAUGGGAAUUCCUGGUGUAGCGGUGGAAUGCGCAGAUAUCAGGAGGAACACCGAUGGCGAAGGCACAUCUCUGGGCCGCAACUGACGCUGAGGAGCGAAAGCGUGGGGAGCGAACAGGAUUAGAUACCCUGGUAGUCCACGCCGUAAACGGUGGGUGCUAGUUGUGGGCUCCAUUCCACGGAGUCCGUGACGAAGUUAACACAUUAAGCACCCCGCCUGGGGGGUACGGUCGCAAGACUA